This 555-nucleotide ribosomal RNA is filed under the name Fusarium sp. Its description in RNAcentral is "LSU rRNA". It matches the Rfam family "Eukaryotic large subunit ribosomal RNA", at positions 72 to 650 of the family's 3401-position model. Lineage: Eukaryota; Fungi; Ascomycota; Sordariomycetes; Hypocreales; Nectriaceae. The record is from RNAcentral.
GGAUUGCCCUAGUAACGGCGAGUGAAGCGGCAACAGCUCAAAUUUGAAAUCUGGCUCUCGGGCCCGAGUUGUAAUUUGUAGAGGAUGCUUUUGAUGCGGUGCCUUCCGAGUUCCCUGGAACGGGACGCCAUAGAGGGUGAGAGCCCCGUCUGGUUGGAUGCCAAAUCUCUGUAAAGCUCCUUCGACGAGUCGAGUAGUUUGGGAAUGCUGCUCUAAAUGGGAGGUAUAUGUCUUCUAAAGCUAAAUACCGGCCAGAGACCGAUAGCGCACAAGUAGAGUGAUCGAAAGAUGAAAAGCACUUUGAAAAGAGAGUUAAAAAGUACGUGAAAUUGUUGAAAGGGAAGCGUUUAUGACCAGACUUGGGCUUGGUUAAUCAUCUGGGGUUCUCCCCAGUGCACUUUUCCAGUCCAGGCCAGCAUCAGUUUUCGCCGGGGGAUAAAGGCUUCGGGAAUGUGGCUCCCUCCGGGGAGUGUUAUAGCCCGUUGCGUAAUACCCUGGCGGGGACUGAGGUUCGCGCUUCUGCAAGGAUGCUGGCGUAAUGGUCAUCAACGACCC